RNAcentral lists this ribosomal RNA (490 nucleotides) under uncultured bacterium. RNAcentral describes it as "partial 16S ribosomal RNA". It matches the Rfam family "Bacterial small subunit ribosomal RNA", at positions 29 to 507 of the family's 1533-position model. The record is from RNAcentral.
AGUGAACGCUGGUGGUAGGCCUAACACAUGCAAGUCGAACGGCAGCACAGGAGAGAUUGCUCUCUAGGUGGCGAGUGGCGGACGGGUGAGGAAUACAUCGGAAUCUGCCCAGUCGUGGGGGAUAACGUAGGGAAACUUACGCUAAUACCGCAUACGACCUUCGGGUGAAAGAGGGGGAUCGCAAGACCUCUCGCGAUUGGAUGAGCCGAUGUCGGAUUAGCUAGUUAGCGGGGUAAUGGCCCACCAAGGCGACGAUCCGUAGCUGGUCUGAGAGGAUGAUCAGACACACUGGAACUGAGACACGUUCCAGACUCCUACGGGAGGCAGCAGUGGGGAAUAUUGGACAAUGGGCGCGAGCCUGAUCCAGCCAUGCCGCGUGGGUGAAGAAGGCCUUCUGGUUGUAGAGCCCUUUUGUUGGGAAAGAAAUCUUUCAGGCUAAUACCCUGGGAGGAUGACGGUACCCAAAGAAUAAGCACCGGCUAACUUCGUG